RNAcentral lists this ribosomal RNA (429 nucleotides) under uncultured bacterium. RNAcentral describes it as "bacterial SSU rRNA". It matches the Rfam family "Bacterial small subunit ribosomal RNA", at positions 355 to 775 of the family's 1533-position model. The record is from RNAcentral.
UGGGGAAUAUUGCGCAAUGGGGGAAACCCUGACGCAGCGACGCCGCGUGAGCGAAGAAGGCCUUAGGGUUGUAAAGCUCUGUUUUAAGGGACGAAUGUCGUGGGGAGUAAUAUGCUCUGCGAAUGACGGUACCUUAAGAGGAAGCCCCGGCUAACUACGUGCCAGCAGCCGCGGUAAGACGUAGGGGGCGAGCGUUGUCCGGAAUUACUGGGCGUAAAGAGCACGUAGGCGGGAACUUAAGUCUGGUGUGAAAGACCGGGGCUCAACUCAGGGGUUGCACUUGAAACUGGGUUUCUUGAGGGCAGGAGAGGAAAGCAGAAUUCCUGGUGUAGCGGUGAAAUGCGUAGAAAUCAGGAGGAAUACCAGUGGCGAAGGCGGCUUUCUGGACUGAACCUGACGCUGAGGUGCGAAAGCGUGGGUAGCAAACAG